CCCCCUGAUAAGGGUGAGGUCGGUGGUUCAAGUCCACUCAGGCCUACCA
This 49-nucleotide transfer RNA is filed under the name Escherichia coli E1002. Its description in RNAcentral is "partial tRNA-Leu". The record is from RNAcentral. Lineage: Bacteria; Pseudomonadati; Pseudomonadota; Gammaproteobacteria; Enterobacterales; Enterobacteriaceae.